CCUUUCACGAGCUCCCAGUACCCAGGUGCACACGUGCGCUUGGUGCUCUCUUCCAUUCCACGCACCGUAGUGGAUCAUGAUCGUAAGCUCUCUACCUGCGCAAAACCACGUCUCGAAAUAAGUAUUGAACGAGAACUGGUAAAAAAAAAAAGAAUUAGGAAGCGUAGAAUAACAAUAUUACACCCGUAACUCAGCCUCUGCAGACAGCUGUUCUCAGCGCCUCUAAACCUCACGCAAAGAAAAAAAGUACAACUUCUCUUCUGCACAAGAAGAACGAAUUAGGCAAUUAGCAGCCACAGCUGUUGAGUCUGUUACACGUCUUCAAUAUAACGGGCUACUUUUAGUGACAGUUGCACAAGAUGAAGCACCUGACGUGGAUUGUAUUCUUCAUGACAGUUACAUCUGUUUUCAUAGGUGAGACGGGAGCAGACUUCACUGAACCGACAAAAUUGCCAUGCCAGAACCCCCAGGACGGUGACGAGCUAUGCAAGAUUCGGUGUGUCAUGAGAAACAACCACGGACGCACUGAGGGAAGGUGCGAGGGAGGCUGGUGCAUCUGCAAGAAACCCGCGUAGAAGAGCACAAUAUGUCGCUACAGUUUAAGGCGCCUCUACGGCAAGUCGACUGUGACGUUUGUUGUCCGCCAAAAUAAAGUCGCUUAGACAGAAUGGCGUAAA
Molecule: long non-coding RNA, 677 nt
Organism: Ornithodoros turicata
Lineage: Eukaryota; Metazoa; Arthropoda; Arachnida; Ixodida; Argasidae
Exons: 3
Source: RefSeq, a predicted model, not a curated record